GCCUUCGUGGUGCAAUGGUCAGCACACUCGGCAGACGAUUCGAGAGGUCUGAGGUUCGAGUCCCGGCGAGGGCA
This 74-nucleotide transfer RNA is filed under the name Stegodyphus mimosarum. It matches the Rfam family "tRNA". From Rfam's summary of the family: Transfer RNA (tRNA) molecules are approximately 80 nucleotides in length. Their secondary structure includes four short double-helical elements and three loops (D, anti-codon, and T loops). Lineage: Eukaryota; Metazoa; Arthropoda; Arachnida; Araneae; Eresidae. The record is from Rfam by way of RNAcentral.